GAUGAACGCUAGCGGCAGGCUUAACACAUGCAAGUCGAGGGGUAUAGUAGCAAUACUAGAGACCGGCGCACGGGUGCGUAACGCGUAUGCAACCUACCUUUUACAGAGGGAUAGCCCAGAGAAAUUUGGAUUAAUACCUCAUAGUGUUAUUAGAUGGCAUCAUUUUAUAACUAAAGUUCCAACGGUAAAGAUGGGCAUGCGUCCUAUUAGCUAGAUGGUAAGGUAACGGCUUACCAUGGCUACGAUAGGUAGGGGUCCUGAGAGGGAGAUCCCCCANACUGG
Molecule: ribosomal RNA, 282 nt
Filed under: uncultured bacterium
Lineage: Bacteria
Description: partial 16S ribosomal RNA
Rfam family: Bacterial small subunit ribosomal RNA
Source: RNAcentral